GUCCGCACCGUAAACGAUGAUUACUCGUUGUUGGCGAUAUGACAGUCAGCGACCAAGCGAAAGCGAUAAGUAAUCCACCUGGGGAGUACGCCGGCAACGGUGAAACUCAAAAGGAAUUGACGGGGGCCCGCACAAGCGGAGGAGCAUGUGGUUUAAUUCGAUGAUACGCGAGGAACCUUACCUGGGCUUGAAAGUUAGUGACCGAUUCUGAAAGGAGUCUUUCCGCAAGGACACGAAACUAGGUGCUGCAUGGCUGUCGU
Molecule: ribosomal RNA, 260 nt
Filed under: uncultured bacterium
Lineage: Bacteria
Description: partial 16S ribosomal RNA
Rfam family: Bacterial small subunit ribosomal RNA
Source: RNAcentral